This 68-nucleotide transfer RNA is filed under the name Cymatogaster aggregata (shiner perch). RNAcentral describes it as "tRNA-Cys". It matches the Rfam family "tRNA". From Rfam's summary of the family: Transfer RNA (tRNA) molecules are approximately 80 nucleotides in length. Their secondary structure includes four short double-helical elements and three loops (D, anti-codon, and T loops). The record is from RNAcentral. Lineage: Eukaryota; Metazoa; Chordata; Actinopteri; Embiotocidae.
AGCUCCGAGGUGUAUUUACAUAUUAGAUUGCAAAUCUUAAGAAGCAGGCUAGUUCCCUGCCGGGGCUU